This 313-nucleotide long non-coding RNA is filed under the name Elaeis guineensis (African oil palm). RNAcentral's name for it is "long non-coding RNA (EGUI_LNC056503)". The record is from RNAcentral. Lineage: Eukaryota; Viridiplantae; Streptophyta; Magnoliopsida; Arecales; Arecaceae.
UGCCGCAUCGGCUCUAUUGCCAGAGGAUCUUGCACUGGCAAGUCCCAGUGAGGUGGGUCCCAAUGAGGUGGGUCCAAGUGAGACGGGUCUGAGUGGUAUUAUUAUAUUUUUUAUAUAAUAAAAUUUGAUUCUUUUAUUUGGAUAGCUAUUAUACUAAUAAUUUAUUUAUUAUUGUUUCAGACCAGUCUUCAUCGGUAGUGAGGCGAGGGCGAGGUUCAUUGAAGAACCUUGCUCUAGAGCGUUGGAGACACGAGCACCUGGGAUAGCACCUCCGUAUCGAGAUACCAUCCAGCUACACUAGGCCCAUUAGGGG